This 236-nucleotide long non-coding RNA is filed under the name Carica papaya (papaya). Its description in RNAcentral is "long non-coding RNA (CPAP_LNC015855)". Lineage: Eukaryota; Viridiplantae; Streptophyta; Magnoliopsida; Brassicales; Caricaceae. The record is from RNAcentral.
GAUCUCAAUGAAUAUAAAAUUAGUGGAAGUUGAGAUACUAUUAUAUCGAUCUUAUAUUUGUAAUCCUCAACAAAAGAUAUGAGGAGUAAUGAAUUUUAUUAAUUACAACUUUUUACUGAGAAUAAAAAAAGUUUUUGAAAGUAUAGUACUAUAUAGCACUUAAUGUUUUCCUUGUACAUCUAGGGAGUGAGUUGCAUGUUGGAGUAUGUGUUGGGAUAGGAGAUUAGAGUGCUUAU